UACGUAGGGUGCGAGCGUUGUCCGGAAUUAUUGGGCGUAAAGAGCUCGUAGGCGGUUUGUCGCGUCUGCUGUGAAAAUCCAGGGCUUAACCCUGGACCUGCAGUGGGUACGGGCAGACUGGAGUGCGGUAGGGGAGAUCGGAAUUCCUGGUGUAGCGGUGAAAUGCGCAGAUAUCAGGAGGAACACCGAUGGCGAAGGCAGGUCUCUGGGCCACUACUGACGCUGAGAAGCGAAAGCAUGGGGAGCGAACAGG
Molecule: ribosomal RNA, 253 nt
Filed under: uncultured bacterium
Lineage: Bacteria
Description: partial 16S ribosomal RNA
Rfam family: Bacterial small subunit ribosomal RNA
Source: RNAcentral